RNAcentral lists this non-coding RNA (28 nucleotides) under Homo sapiens (human). The record is from RNAcentral. Lineage: Eukaryota; Metazoa; Chordata; Mammalia; Primates; Hominidae.
UGGGACAGAAGAGUUUGAACUGGAUGGA